RNAcentral lists this ribosomal RNA (996 nucleotides) under Triticum aestivum (bread wheat). Its description in RNAcentral is "partial small subunit ribosomal RNA". The record is from RNAcentral. Lineage: Eukaryota; Viridiplantae; Streptophyta; Magnoliopsida; Poales; Poaceae.
AUGGAGGUCAUCCGCGGGCCGAUUCUGCCGCGCUGCGCUGCGCCUGCUCUCACCUCCCGCUCUCGGAUCGGCGGCCAGCUGCUGAGGCGCGUGCGCAUGCGGAGGAGGGCUUGCGGUGGUGUCUCGCCAGGUGACGGCUACGACGGCGUGUCGCGCAGGUUCUUCGGUGCCCCGACCCAGCAGCACAUGCACAGCACAAGCGCCUGGCCUGUUCGCUGCAGCUACGGCUCGUCAUCUGACGGGGACGGCGCCCCGCCGGCGAAUUUCGACGCCAGCGGCGAGGAGUUCGUCGACUCCAGCGUCAUGGAGGCUGUUGAGCUCAGAUGCGUGUCAGAUGGUUUUGUGAUAAGAAUGCGCGACGGAAGAAACCUUAGAUGUGUCCAGAAUAAUCCCCGCGUGCUAAGACUGCGCGAUUCUACGCCUCACCAUGCUAUCGUGCUCAAGAUGGAAGAUGGAAGCGAUCUUCUGCUCCCCAUUAUUGUCAUGGAGACACCAAGUAUUAUGCUACUGGCCGCCCUUCGGAACAUUCGAAUUCCAAGGCCAACAAUUUAUAAUGUGGUAAAGGAGAUGACCGAAAUGAUGGGAUAUACGGUACGUUUGGUGCGGAUUACAGAAAUGGUGCAUGAUGCUUACUAUUCUAGAUUGUAUCUUGCGAAGAUUGGAAAUGAAGAAGAGACUAUUAGUUUUGAUCUCAAGCCAUCAGAUGCCAUCAACAUUGCUUUCCGGUGCAAGGUUCCUAUACAAGUCAAUAAGCGCAUUGCAUACAACAACGGUCUGAAAGUUAUACAACCAAAGCCAACUGGGAGUUACGUGAACUCUGACCAAAUCCAGUACACAAGACUGGACAAGCCUGGUGACCAGCCUUGCUUUGAAGCCCAGGAAUUCGAUUUGGUCCGCGGCAUGCUUAUUGCUGCUGUCGAGGAGCGCUAUAAAGAUGCUGCUCAAUACAGAGAUCGCCUUCUCAUGUUCCGGGCAAACAAAAAGAACACAAUAUAA